AACGGAGGGUGCAAGCGUUGUUCGGAAUUACUGGGCGUAAAGCGCGUGCAGGUGGUCUUUUAAGUUUCGUGUGAAAUCCCACGGCUUAACCGUGGAACGGCACGGAAAACUGAAAGGCUUGAGUACGGGAGAAGAGGGCGGAAUUCCCAGUGUAGAGGUGAAAUUCGUAGAUAUUGGGAGGAACACCGGCGGCGAAAGCGGCUCUCUAGACCGAUACUGACGCUCAUACGCGAGAGCGUGGGUAGCAAACAGG
This 253-nucleotide ribosomal RNA is filed under the name uncultured bacterium. Its description in RNAcentral is "partial 16S ribosomal RNA". It matches the Rfam family "Bacterial small subunit ribosomal RNA", at positions 524 to 776 of the family's 1533-position model. The record is from RNAcentral.